This 444-nucleotide ribosomal RNA is filed under the name uncultured bacterium. RNAcentral describes it as "partial 16S ribosomal RNA". It matches the Rfam family "Bacterial small subunit ribosomal RNA", at positions 339 to 795 of the family's 1533-position model. The record is from RNAcentral.
CUACGGGUCGCUCCAGUGGGGAAUAUUGCACAAUGGGCGAAAGCCUGAUGCAGCAACGCCGCGUGAGGGACGACGGCCUUCGGGUUGUAAACCUCUUUUAGCAGGGAAGAAGCGAAAGUGACGGUACCUGCAGAAAAAGCACCGGCUAACUACGUGCCAGCAGCCGCGGUAAUACGUAGGGUGCAAGCGUUGUCCGGAAUUAUUGGGCGUAAAGAGCUCGUAGGCGGUUUGUCGCGUCUGCUGUGAAAAUCCGAGGCUCAACCUCGGACCUGCAGUGGGUACGGGCAAACUAGAGUGCGGUAGGGGAGAUUGGAAUUCCUGGUGUAGCGGUGGAAUGCGCAGAUAUCAGGAGGAACACCAGUGGCGAAGGCAGAUCUCUGGGCCGUAACUGACGCUGAGGAGCGAAAGCGUGGGGAGCGAACAGGAUUAGAUACCCUCGUAGUC